Non-coding RNA from Aedes aegypti (yellow fever mosquito), 72 nucleotides. The record is from Rfam. NCBI's taxonomy places the organism in Eukaryota, Metazoa, Arthropoda, Insecta, Diptera, Culicidae.
GGCUCGGUAGCUUAGUUGGUAAAGCCUUCGUCUAGCAUACAAGAGUCCUGGGUUCACAUCCCAGCCGAGCAC